AACAAGAUAACACAACCCAACCGACGAACCUGAAGCAUCGUCUCUUUCUCUCUCAAAACCGUAACUUCACCUCCUGCAAUCGAUCGAAUCCAAUGGCCAAUAGUAUAGAGGAUCGGGAAGAAUCAUUGAAUCCAAUGGCUAAUAGUAACCUCCGAAUCCUCUAUCUCUCUAGAUCCUCUGUACAAUCCUCUGAAUCAUCAAGGUAACUUCUACUUCUUUCAGCUUAGCAGGGCACUGGGCGCAUUUUAUAGCAGGAGCUGUUGGUAUGUUAUCUAACUGUCUCUCUCACAGUCAUCUUAUCAUUGAAAUAACUGUAAAGAUAGGAGGGAAACAUAUGUCCACUCAAUUGCAAAUUGACUUAGAAUGCCAAGCAUGCAGCAGAAAUGAAACUUGAUACCACCUGGCUGGAAAUUCAUAUAUCAGACAAGUGAUGAUUCUACCUUACGGAUAUGGUGUGGGUCUUUAAUAGAUAAUAUCCAGGUUUUCACCAAACCACACAAGAUUAAGGUGAUACACUUGGUUCGUUCGUAUAUGUUCCUUGUGAAGUCAUAAAGCAGCGGAUGCAAUUCAGGGAACGAGUAGCUCAUGGAGAUCUUUUAUUUCUAGGAACAGUGUUCCGGUGAAACCAAGAGGUGACAUGUAAGCUUUCCCACAUUUUUUCAGAUUAUGCAAGCAUAGGAACAAGUUACGAAAACUAACUUUAACCUUUUAACAAUCAUGCUUAUUCUGGAUUUUCUUUUGGUUAUACUUCUGCAUUUUUUUCAGAUUAUACUUCUGUCUAUAACCACAUUUUAGUUUCGAAUAUGUGCAGAAUUUGAUGUGGUUUGAGUGUU
Camelina sativa (false flax) is the source of this 833-nucleotide non-coding RNA. Lineage: Eukaryota; Viridiplantae; Streptophyta; Magnoliopsida; Brassicales; Brassicaceae. The record is from RefSeq and is a predicted model, not a curated record.